Molecule: long non-coding RNA, 231 nt
Filed under: Elaeis guineensis (African oil palm)
Lineage: Eukaryota; Viridiplantae; Streptophyta; Magnoliopsida; Arecales; Arecaceae
Description: long non-coding RNA (EGUI_LNC060713)
Source: RNAcentral
GCUAUCUGUCACAUGCUUGCUUGUGCUAGUGAGAUGGGGCGUGACAAUGGGAUAAUAUUAGAAAACUGACAGGCGUAUAGCAUGUAUUUUAGAAAAUUUUUAUGUAAUGAAAAAUUAGAUAAAUAGUUUAAUCUAUACUAUAUGCUUAAGAUCUAAUCUUGACACCUAUCCUAGGAUGUAUAACAUAUUAUGAUGCACGUACAUGAUCUGAAAAUAAAAUCUGCAUAGUAG